CCACACGAAGCUGGAAUCGCUAGUAAUCGCGAAUCAGAAUGUCGCGGUGAAUACGUUCCCGGGUCUUGUACACACCGCCCGUCACACCAUGGGAGUCAGCAACGCCCGAAGUCAGUGACCUAACCUUAUAGGGAGGAGCUGCCGAAGGCGGGGCCGGUAACUGGGGUGAAGUCGUAACAAGGUACC
This 186-nucleotide ribosomal RNA is filed under the name uncultured bacterium. Its description in RNAcentral is "partial 16S ribosomal RNA". It matches the Rfam family "Bacterial small subunit ribosomal RNA", at positions 1316 to 1500 of the family's 1533-position model. The record is from RNAcentral.